AUUGAACGCUGGCGGCAGGCCUAACACAUGCAAGUCGAGCGAGAGGCGCACGGGUGAGAAAUGUCUGGGAAACUGCCUGAUGGAGGGGGAUAACUACUGGAAACGGUAGCUAAUACAGCAUACCAUCAGAUGUGCCCAGAUGGGAGUAGAUAGUAGGGGGGGUAAUGGCUCACCUAGGCGACGAUCCCUAGCUGGUCUGCGAGGAUGACCAGCCACACUGGAACUGAGACACGGUCCAGACUCCUACGGGAGGCAGCAGUGGGGAAUAUUGCACAAUGGGCGCAAGCCUGAUGCAGCCAUGCCGCGUGUGUGAAGAAGGCCUUCGGGUUGUAAAGCACUUGCAGCGGGGAGGCGUUACCCGCAGAAGAAGCACCGGCUAACUCCGUGCCAGCAGCCGCGGUAAUUC
RNAcentral lists this ribosomal RNA (406 nucleotides) under uncultured bacterium. Its description in RNAcentral is "partial 16S ribosomal RNA". It matches the Rfam family "Bacterial small subunit ribosomal RNA", at positions 29 to 526 of the family's 1533-position model. The record is from RNAcentral.